RNAcentral lists this transfer RNA (84 nucleotides) under Minisyncoccota bacterium. RNAcentral's name for it is "tRNA-Leu". It matches the Rfam family "tRNA". From Rfam's summary of the family: Transfer RNA (tRNA) molecules are approximately 80 nucleotides in length. RNAcentral also lists the same sequence under 1 other name. Lineage: Bacteria; Bacillati; Minisyncoccota. The record is from RNAcentral.
GCCCUCAUGGCGGAAUUGGUAGACGCGCUAGCUUCAGGAGCUAGUGGCCGCAAGGCCAUAGAGGUUCAAAUCCUCUUGGGGGCA